GUAGCUUCAUUGUGUCGUUUGGGAUAAGUGUGCAAAAUUGCAGUUCAGUCGGACGUGGUUUUGUUGAGUUUAUAAUCAAAAGUGUAUUUCGAAAGAUUUUAGAAACUUAGGCUUGAAUCCGAUGUGUUUUGGGUGAUUCGAUGUUGUUUGAGGUGUUUUGGUGAUUGGAACAAGUUAGAAUAAGGUUUUAGGAUAUGUUGGUGCUUUUGGUUGAGGUCACGGAGGCCUCGGGGUGAAUUCGGAUGGUUAACAGGAAGAUUGGAGACUUGAGAGAUUGCAGAAAAUUUGUUGCUUCUAGUGUUUUCGUGUGGCUUGGGGACCAUAGGUGCGGCGUCACACGUGCGGAAGGGAAGGGGCAAAUGCGCAUUGGAGAAGUGGCGUCACGAACCGCAGAUGCGGUGAGGGGACUGCACCUGCAGAGUCGCAGAUGUGACGUGUGGACCGCAGAUAUAGAAUGGGGCCAUUAAAGGAGUUCCGCAGAAGCGGAGGUGUUGACCGCAUAUGCGGUACUGCAGAAGCGAAUUUUAGGCCGCAAAUUUGAGUAUUCCUUGGAAGGAUAUAUAAGUUAUUUCAUUUCAUGAAAUUGGAUUAUUCCACCAUUUUUGGACUUCGGCUUGAGAGCUUUUGAACGAUUUGGAAGGGAGAUUUCAAGGGAACUUCGUUAAGGUAACGAUUUUGGACCUAAAACUCACUCCUAUGGUAAUAUUCCAUGGAUUAAGACUGAAAUUAAUGGAAUUAAAGGGCUAAAAUGGAGGUUUAAGGCUUGAGUUUAAGAGGGCUUUUAAUGAGGAUUUGAGGGGUCAUUUGGACUCUGAUUUUGAUAUUUUUGUUAUGUAUGAACUCGUGGAGAGAUAAAAAACUCGUUGAUGUGAAAAUUUCUGAUUUUCGAGAAGUGGGUUUGGGGCUAGGGUUUUUCUAAUUAUUGGAUUUUUGGUAUUUUUCGAUUUGUUUUUGCUUGGGCUUUGUUCUCUUAGCAUGUUGUGACGUGUUUGUUCUGAUUUUGAAUAGAUUCGACGUGCCUGGAGGCCGAUUUGAGGGCAAAGGCAUCACAAGCCAGAGAUUUAUCUGGUUCGAGGUGAGUAAUGAUUAUAAAUGAUGCUGUGAGGGUUUAUAACCCCGGAUUGCACAUCUUAGUGCUAUAUUGAGGUGAUACACACACUUGAUGACGAGCGUGGAGUCGUGCACUAUUGGGGAUUGUUACUUAGUCCAUCCUGAUUGAUGAUUUUACUAUGUAAACUGAAGCUUAUUUCCUUUCAUCAUGCUUUGGGUUUAUUGCCAUAUUUGGGCUUCGUGCUAACUAGUUGAAUCCUUCAGGGAUUUUUAUUACCAUUUCCUCACUGUUUUGACUUAUUACUUGAACUCAAUCCUGUUGUUUUUUCACUGUUUUACUACUCAGCCAUUUUACUCAGUUUUGACACUUAAAUGAUAUUUUAAAUGAUAUUUUCAGUUGAGAAUACUAUUUUACUAUUGCUCGAGGGCUUGUGAUGAUUUUUGGACUAAGUAAGGAAGGGGCCUAGUUGUGAGGAUACACUGGUAUUAAUAAAAGGCCGAGGGACUGAGAUAAAUAUUUACGCCAUGAGGUGGUUUGAUUGAUAUGAGGCUGAUGGCCUAGAUUUGAUGCCACGAAAUGGCUUGGUAUUGCGCUUAUUCCAUAAGGGCCCCAUCCCGGAAUCUUUACACCCCUAGUGAGCACGAGUACCCAUUGUGAUGUGAGAUUGAGCCCGAGGGGCUAGCAUUGUUCUGAGGGCCGGUACUGCUUUGAGAUGUUGCCCGAGCGACGGAUUUGUUGAUACUGUGCCCGAGGGGCAAAAUUCUAUUUGUUUACUUACCUAUCAAUUACUUGUUUUACUUGUUGAAAAGGGAUUUUUACUUGACUCUUCACUGUUUUACCGUUUUAAAUGAUUUUUACAUCUUCAAUAUAGAACGCCUUGUGUUUUACGUGUUUUCGUACUUUCAGUCAUUAUUUACAUUUGUUACUCACUGAGUUGGAGUGCUUACUAUACUCCCUGCACCCUAUGUGCAGAUUCAAGCAUUUCUGGUUCCGUUCUUGAGUGCUGAUUCAUCCAGUUCCAGGCGGCUUUUGAAGAUUACGAGGUAUUUGGUGACGUCUGCAGCGCCGUGUCUCUACUCCUCUAUCAUUUCAGUUCCUUUUCAAACAUUGUAGUAGUUUAUAACUUAGACAGACUUGUAUUAUGGCUUAUAGAUGCUCG
This 2210-nucleotide long non-coding RNA is filed under the name Nicotiana benthamiana. RNAcentral's name for it is "long non-coding RNA (NBEN_LNC036850)". The record is from RNAcentral. Lineage: Eukaryota; Viridiplantae; Streptophyta; Magnoliopsida; Solanales; Solanaceae.